RNAcentral lists this microRNA (23 nucleotides) under Petromyzon marinus (sea lamprey). Its description in RNAcentral is "pma-miR-23a-3p". Its record names the gene pma-miR-23a-3p. The record is from miRBase by way of RNAcentral. Lineage: Eukaryota; Metazoa; Chordata; Hyperoartia; Petromyzontiformes; Petromyzontidae.
AUCACAUUGCCAGGGAUUACCGC